UAGUGGCGAACGGGUGAGUAACACGUGGGCAAUCUGCCCUGCACUCUGGGACAAGCCCUGGAAACGGGGUCUAAUACCGGAUACGAGCCUCCNGGGCAUCUGGGAGGUUGGAAAGCUCCGGCGGUGCAGGAUGAGCCCGCGGCCUAUCAGCUUGUUGGUGAGGUAACGGCUCACCAAGGCGACGACGGGUAGCCGGCCUGAGAGGGCGACCGGCCACACUGGGACUGAGACACGGCCCAGACUCCUACGGGAGGCAGCAGUGGGGAAUAUUGCACAAUGGGCGCAAGCCUGAUGCAGCGACGCCGCGUGAGGGAUGACGGCCUUCGGGUUGUAAACCUCUUUCAGCAGGGAAGAAGCGAGAGUGACGGUACCUGCAGAAGAAGCGCCGGCUAACUACGUGCCAGCAGCCGCGGUAAUACGUAGGGCGCAAGCGUUGUCCGGAAUUAUUGGGCGUAAAGAGCUCGUAGGCGGCUUGUCGCGUCGAUUGUGAAAGCCCGGGGCUUAACUCCGGGUCUGCAGUCGAUACGGGCAGGCUAGAGUGUGGUAGGGGAGAUCGGAAUUCCU
RNAcentral lists this ribosomal RNA (564 nucleotides) under Streptomyces sp. 428D12. Its description in RNAcentral is "bacterial SSU rRNA". It matches the Rfam family "Bacterial small subunit ribosomal RNA", at positions 93 to 671 of the family's 1533-position model. The record is from RNAcentral. Lineage: Bacteria; Bacillati; Actinomycetota; Actinomycetes; Kitasatosporales; Streptomycetaceae.